CACCUCUCAGGGUUGCACCUGGAGAAUUUCCAGUACUCUACCCGUUUCUACUAUGGGAGGGAGAGUCAAACAGAGGCAUACCCAUUCCAUUCCUAGCUUGGCAGUGACUAGCGAGUGGAAGACAAUCUGUUAAAGUC
Non-coding RNA from Ornithorhynchus anatinus (platypus), 137 nucleotides. Lineage: Eukaryota; Metazoa; Chordata; Mammalia; Monotremata; Ornithorhynchidae. The record is from Rfam.